UAAGGCAAGCUCCUAAAGUCACAUAUUAACCUCAUUUUGCUCUCUAGUUUCAUGAUCAAUGUAUUUUUAUUACAACCCACCUUUUUAUAAUUGCAUUGAAGCUUUAAGUUAGCAUUUCUAGGUGUGUCGCCUCUUUUACUGACAGGUAAAGGAGGCCACACAGUGCUCACACAUUCACAGCAGGUGUAGCUUUCUGCUAGACCCUGAACUCAACCUCUUGACUGUGUUUGUGGUGCUGGUUGCAAAGCAUUCAUUGCAAUUAUUUGAUAAAUAAGAUAAACUGUGCAGGUUAAUUGUACUAAAAGACCAUCCAAUAAGUCAACUUUCCACUUUUGUUGAGUGAAAUUAUAGUAAAUUAUUCGUCUGUUCCUUGGCACUAAUAAGAAGGUCUGUGUGUCUUUGUGAUGCACCCAUACAGUGUUAGCUGCUGCACUCUCCUCUCUGGCCUAUAGAUGGUAAGUUUGGCGCUAGCAAAUAUACAAGUAGUCCCUGUGCUUUUUUAACUCUAUUCAAGAUAAAAACCCUUUCAUGUCACGCUGUGCCUCACCUGCAGCCAGUCUCAAUGUAAACACACGCUCAUGUCAUGACAUUAACAGGGAUGGAGGCGUGACAUCAGUAAAAUGUCGCCCAGAGGCAGGUGACGAUCAAGUUUGUUUGUGCAUGUAAAGACCUUUGUAACUUUUAGGUCUUGAUCCUAUUAAACUUCAUAAUUUAACCUCAAGUACCCUGCAGCAGCUUUAUGCUUGUACAGAGACGCCGUGUAUGCUGACACAGACGGAAGUCAGCCAGUUGUAAACAGAAACUGAUUCAGAUCCAGAUCCUGGGAGCCUGUUGCAUGCCAGCAGGGUUCAUUUCCCAGAAGUUUGCAAGACUGAGCGGCUGCAGAUGGAACAGCGUGUCCACAUGAAAGGGAACAGCCAUACAUGUCCAGGAGAUUGCUGCUUCAGUACACCUCAAAGCAAGAUCAUGAGCUCCACUGACAGGUAUCGCCUGAGCUAAUAGCUGAUGUAUGUUGAUGCAUUUAGAUAAGAUGAUCUGGCAGGAUUGCUAGUUACCAAAACUAACGCCAUAUUCAGUGUUACUCCAGUACCCCUGAGGCAGUGUUUUCCAUGCUUACAUUGGUACCAACUAUGCAAAUGUCAACAGAGUAAACUUCCAGUAGACUAACAAUUACUCUUGCCGUCACACAGACUCUAACAUUACUGUCCUGGACAGCAGCUGGCAACAGUAGGCUUUUCUCUGCUCUGGAGGUUUGCUGAAGGGUCACUAUAACCAGGCCAAGGCAGAACUGGCUCUGCACCUGUAGACCAGCUGUCGACAUACCAAAAAGAAGAGUAAUUGUUUUAUUGUGUUUGUUUGAAUCUGUAAGGCUGCCAAACAUUGGUGAACCUAUUGCACAAGCCCUGCACGUAGACAGUUCCAACAAUUUUAAGGUGGCAAAAAUCUUUCAGUCGGUUUUUGGGUCAAAAUGGAGGAGCUGAUAUCAGGUCAGUCAUCAUUUUUAAACAACUUGUCAUAGAAAAAAUCUGCAGAAAACAUCUUCUAUAACGGGUGGGCAACUCUCGA
Molecule: long non-coding RNA, 1566 nt
Organism: Oreochromis niloticus (Nile tilapia)
Lineage: Eukaryota; Metazoa; Chordata; Actinopteri; Cichliformes; Cichlidae
Exons: 2
Source: RefSeq, a predicted model, not a curated record